This 274-nucleotide ribosomal RNA is filed under the name uncultured bacterium. RNAcentral's name for it is "partial 16S ribosomal RNA". It matches the Rfam family "Bacterial small subunit ribosomal RNA", at positions 523 to 796 of the family's 1533-position model. The record is from RNAcentral.
CUACGGAGGGUGCGAGCGUUAAUCGGAAUUACUGGGCGUAAAGCGCGCGUAGGCGGAUAAUUAAGUCAGAUGUGAAACCCCCGGGCUCAACCUGGGAACUGCAUUUGAUACUGAUUAACUAGAGUAUGGUAGAGGUGAGUGGAAUUUCCGGUGUAGCGGUGAAAUGCGUAGGGAUCAGAAGGAACACCAGUGGCGAAGGCGACUCACUGGGCCAUUACUGACGCUCAGGUGCGAAAGCGUGGGUAGCAAACAGGAUUAGAAACCCUAGUAGUCC